RNAcentral lists this ribosomal RNA (547 nucleotides) under uncultured Ambispora. Its description in RNAcentral is "SSU rRNA". It matches the Rfam family "Eukaryotic small subunit ribosomal RNA", at positions 548 to 1098 of the family's 1831-position model. Lineage: Eukaryota; Fungi; Glomeromycota; Glomeromycetes; Archaeosporales; Ambisporaceae. The record is from RNAcentral.
UUGGAGGGCAAGUCUGGUGCCAGCAGCCGCGGUAAUUCCAGCUCCAAUAGCGUAUAUUAAAGUUGUUGAAGUCAAAAAGCUCGUAGUUGAAUUUUAGGCCUGGCCAGGCGGUCCGUCUUUGGCGAGUACUGUCUUGUUGUCGGGUCUUCCUUCUGGUGAACCAGUAUGUCCUUUAUUGGGUGUGUUGGGGAGCCAGGACCAUUACCUUGAAAAAAUUAGAGUGUUUAAAGCGGGCUAUUGCUUGAAUAGAUUAGCAUGGAAUAAUAGAAUAGGACGUUGUGGUUCUAUUUUGUUGGUUUCUAGGACCACCGUAAUGAUUAAUAGGGAUAGUUGGGGGCAUUAGUAUUCAAUUGUCAGAGGUGAAAUUCUUGGAUUCAUUGAAGACUAACUAUUGCGAAAGCAUUUGCCAAGGAUGUUUUCAUUAAUCAAGAACGAAAGUUAGGGGAUCGAAGACGAUCUGAUACCGUCGUAGUCUUAACCAUAAACUAUGCCGACUAGGAAUCGGGCGUCGUUAUUUUAAUGACUCGCUCGGCGCCUUACGGGAAAC